Molecule: ribosomal RNA, 1251 nt
Filed under: Triticum aestivum (bread wheat)
Lineage: Eukaryota; Viridiplantae; Streptophyta; Magnoliopsida; Poales; Poaceae
Description: partial small subunit ribosomal RNA
Source: RNAcentral
AUGGGUGAUGUGGACAAAGAAAAGGAUAUUGACAGAAAGUCAUAUACAUGGAAAGACCUCCAUUCUGACUUGCACAACUGGGCCAUUUAUGACUCCAAACAACACAUAAUUGUCUUCAAAGAAUUGAAGAUGGAAAACGGAGAGGAUGACUUGGUGUUUGGAGAACUUGAGAAAAACAUCAGCGUGCACGUUAUUGUGAAGGAUAAGAACAAUCGCAAACCCAUGGGACAUCUAAAUAAAUCCCUCAAUUGUUAUGCAAAUUCAGUCCUACAAUGCUUAAAGGCCACUGAAAGUUUUUCGAAGUAUCUUUCUGGAGAUGAUUAUGGGAAAACAUGUCCUGAAGAGGGUGAUUUGUGUGUAUCUUGCUGUUUGCGAAGAUACCUUCUAGAGGACUUACAAAGUUCAACAGCUUUUCUUCCUACUAUGAUUCUUAAUCGUUUGGAAGAUUUAGGUGAUGACUUUAAGAAUAACCGUCUUGGUUCUCAGUUCAGCGCUGAUGAAUUUUUGUGCGCAAUAUUGUCAAAAUUUCCUGCAGAGAAGCACCCCAAAAAUAUAGACAUAUAUGAGCAGCUAUUUUCUGGAACAUUACUAACAGAGCAUGUAUGCGAAUGUGGAUUCAAAAAGGCAGGCGAAACUAGAGAUUUCCAGAUGUUGGAAAUUCCUAUCAAGCUUGAGGAUCAAGUUGGCUUCAAAAGCUUAAAAGAAUGCAUGGAUGCGUUCACUAUGAAAAAACCAUUGAAUUCUCGAUGUGAAGGAUGCUCACUCCACAAAAAGAGUGAGGAAACUCGAAUCGUGGCUUGUCCAGAAAUAUUGAUCAUAUGUCUUGGUCGACCUGUUGGUACUGGUGAAGGUUCUACUAAGCUCGUACAUGAUGUUGACUGCCCCAUGGAUUUCGACUUUUCACCUUAUGUGAGUGCUAAUGGAGGAGUCGAACAAAAGUAUGACUUAUAUGGAGUCAUUCAUCAUAGGCAGUAUGGCCCAAAAGGUGGGCACUAUUGGUGCUUCACCAAGUAUAAUGGAGAAUGGUACGAGAUCAAUGACGAACGGGUUACAUCUAUCACUAAGGAGGGUGUAGAAAAGAAAACAAAGAAAGUUAUAUCUUUUUCUAUAAAAGGAAAAUGGGAGAACAUUCUGAACCACAUGGCGAGCGUGCAACUGAAGACGACAUCCCAAGACGGACGGACGCUGAUCCCUUACUUUUCAGGCCCCCACCUGAUGAAGCAGAUACCCCCAGCCUAUCUGAUAAGUUGA